Molecule: RNA transcript, 1242 nt
Organism: Drosophila innubila
Lineage: Eukaryota; Metazoa; Arthropoda; Insecta; Diptera; Drosophilidae
Gene name: ryncolin-4-like
Exons: 3
Source: RefSeq, a predicted model, not a curated record
UCUUAGGCAUUUCGUGAAGAUCAGUCGCAAUAUGUUGCUGAAAACAAUUUGCUUUGUCUUAAUAAUAAAUACAUUAUUUUCAUUCUCAAAUGCGACUCGGAUUUCCGAUCUUAAUUUGACGAAUUUACUUCUGUCAGUAAAUUCUCAAUUAACCGACAUAAGAGCGGAACAGGAAAAAUUGAUAGAUAGAAUUGUUAAGGAAGCGGAAAUUAAAUCCCUAAGGGCUGAGAUGGAACAACUGAAGAUAGAUGGAGUUAAUAAGGAAUCGAAUAUACAAUAUCUUCUGGAACAACAGAAAAAAUAUGGGGCUGAUAAUCAGACGGAUAUUCAGUCAGUUAGAGUGGACAAUCAACAUAUUAAGGUGGAGCUUCAACAACUUAGAGCGGAGCUGGAACUACAAAAGAAAUACGAAUUGGACAACCAAUCUCUUCGAGCAGAGGUGGAACGACUGAGCAAGUUGAUAUAUAGACUUGUUAUCCCACGCAAUUGUGCCGAGGCCAAGUCUAAAGGGAUCAACGAAAUAGUCAUUUCCAACUUUAGUAGUCAACCUUUUAAAGUUGCCUGCGAUGCAUUAACCCGGGAGGAGGGUGGACUAUUAUUCUGAGGAGAAUGGACGGUAGUGUCAACUUUUAUAGAAAUUGGACUGAGUACAAAAAUGGGUUUGGAGAUAUGGAUGGAGAAUUCUUUUUAGGUUUGGAUAAAAUACACGCACUAACUGCUGAGAGUGAACAGGAGCUACUUGUUGUUGUCGAGGACUUCGAGGGAAUUGAAGCAUUUGAGACGUAUGAUGCCUUUGCAAUUGGCAACGAGGAUCAACAAUAUGAAUUACAUACUCUGGGCAAAGCUAAUGGAACUGCUGGUGACUCCCUGAGAAGACAAGAGGGCAGCAAAUUUUCUACAUUUGAUCGGGACAAUGAUAUUGACAUCACAAACUGUGCCGAGAGAUUCACUGGUGCCUGGUGGUACAAAAAUUGUCACAACAGCAAUUUGAAUGGGAAAUAUAAUGACAACACCUUUGGCAAGGGCGUCAACUGGGAUCAUUUUCGAGGUCCGUAUUACUCCCUGAAAAAAGCUGUGAUGAUGAUAAGACCAACAAAUAAAUUAUAAGCCACAACCAUAUGAACUGUAAUUCGGUAUAAUUUAAUGGACUGUCAGUUACUUUUUGUAAAGAAGGAUGAGCUUUAGGGUGCAUCGAUUUUUAGUUACUAAAAAUUAUAAGAAAAAUUUUUAAUCUACGGUCAA